CCUACGGGAGACAGCAGUGAGGAAUAUUGGUCAAUGGACGAGAGUCUGAACCAGCCAAGUAGCGUGAAGGAUGACUGCCCUAUGGGUUGUAAACUUCUUUUAUAUGGGAAUAAAACGUUCCACGUGUGGGAUUUUGUAUGUACCAUAUGAAUAAGGAUCGGCUAACUCCGUGCCAGCAGCCGCGGUAAUACGGAGGAUCCGAGCGUUAUCCGGAUUUAUUGGGUUUAAAGGGAGCGUAGGUGGAUUGUUAAGUCAGUUGUGAAAGUUUGCGGCUCAACCGUGAAAUUGCAGUUGAAACUGGCAGUCUUGAGUACAGUAGAGGUGGGCGGAAUUCGUGGUGUAGCGGUGAAAUGCUUAGAUAUCACGAAGAACUCCGAUUGCGAAGGCAGUUCACUGGACUGCAACUGACACUGAGGCUCGAAAGUGUGGGUAUCAAACAGGAUUAGAUACCCUUGUAGUC
RNAcentral lists this ribosomal RNA (460 nucleotides) under uncultured bacterium. Its description in RNAcentral is "partial 16S ribosomal RNA". It matches the Rfam family "Bacterial small subunit ribosomal RNA", at positions 338 to 795 of the family's 1533-position model. The record is from RNAcentral.